GAUGAAGAACGUAGUGAAAUGCGAUAAGUAAUGUGAAUUGCAGAAUUCAGUGAAUCAUCGAAUCUUUGAACGCACAUUGCGCCCUCUGGUAUUCCGGGGGGCAUGCCUGUUCGAGCGUCAUUAUAACCACUCAAGCUCUCGCUUGGUAUUGGGGCUCGCGGUUCCGCGGCCCCUAAAAUCAGUGGCGGUGCCUGUCGGCUCUACGCGUAGUAAUACUCCUCGCGAUUGAGUCCGGUAGGUCUACUUGCCAGCAACCCCCAAUGUUUACAGGUUGACCUCGGAUCAGGUAGGGAUACCCGCUGAACUUAAGCAUAUCAAUAAGCGGAGGA
Molecule: unclassified non-coding RNA, 329 nt
Filed under: soil metagenome
Description: partial contains 5.8S ribosomal RNA, internal transcribed spacer 2, and large subunit ribosomal RNA
Rfam family: 5.8S ribosomal RNA (bases 1-120)
Source: RNAcentral